GACGAACGCUGGCGGCGUGCCUAAUACAUGCAAGUAGAACGCUGAAGGAGGAGCUUGCUUCUCUGGAUGAGUUGCGAACGGGUGAGUAAGGGUAGGGUAACCUCCCGGGUGGGGGGGGUUACCUUUUGGAACGGUAGGCAAAUACCCAAUAUAAGAGGUGGUGGCUGAAUAACGGUUGGAAAGUUCAAUUGCACCGGCACCAAGUGGACCUUGGGUUGUAUUGCCUGGUGGUGGGGGUAACGGCUCACCAAGGCGACGAUACAUACCCGACCUGGGAGGGUGAUCGGCCACACUGGGAAUGAGACACGGCCCAGACUCCUACGGGAGGCAGCAGUAGGGAAUCUUCGGCAAUGGACGGAAGUCUGACCGAGCAACGCCGCGUGAGUGAAGAAGGUUUUCGGAUCGUAAAGCUCUGUUGUAAGAGAAGAACGAGUGUGAGAGUGGAAAGUUCACACUGUGACGGUACCUUACCAGAAAGGGACGGCUAACUACGUG
Molecule: ribosomal RNA, 495 nt
Filed under: uncultured bacterium
Lineage: Bacteria
Description: partial 16S ribosomal RNA
Rfam family: Bacterial small subunit ribosomal RNA
Source: RNAcentral